Molecule: ribosomal RNA, 415 nt
Filed under: Telenomus nizwaensis
Lineage: Eukaryota; Metazoa; Arthropoda; Insecta; Hymenoptera; Scelionidae
Description: partial large subunit ribosomal RNA
Source: RNAcentral
AAGAUCGAAUGAGGAGAUUCAUCGUCWACGGGGUCGGCUUCCAUGCGGUACGCGAUGAUGUCGAGUCUUCGGGCUCGAUUCACGCUUCCGCUGUGGUAUGCGUCCGAUCACGUCGGCGUGCACUUCUCCUCUAGUAGAACGUCGCGACCCGCUGAGUGUCGGUUUAAGGGCCAGGAUCGUCGACUGUACCGUCGCUUCGGCGUUACGUGUGCAGACGCUUGGUCCCCCGAUCGACUGCUCGGCGGUAAACAUAAGGUAUCGAGCCGCACUCGAAUGCGUUCAGACUCGUUGCAAGCUGUGUCACUUUUACCCGGAUGUGCGGACCUGGUGCCGUACCUGGGAGUGAYCGGCUGYUGGUUGACGAUGUUCUCGAACCGGCUUACACUUGCUGUACAGCGAUACCGGUCGGCGACGC